UACGAAGGGGGCUAGCGUUGCUCGGAAUCACUGGGCGUAAAGGGUGCGUAGGCGGGUCUUUAAGUCAGGGGUGAAAUCCUGGAGCUCAACUCCAGAACUGCCUUUGAUACUGAGGAUCUUGAGUCCGGGAGAGGUGAGUGGAAUUCCGAGUGUAGAGGUGAAAUUCGUAGAUAUUCGGAAGAACACCAGUGGCGAAGGCGGCUCACUGGACCGGUAUUGACGCUGAGGUGCGAAAGCGUGGGGAGCAAACAGG
RNAcentral lists this ribosomal RNA (253 nucleotides) under uncultured bacterium. RNAcentral's name for it is "partial 16S ribosomal RNA". It matches the Rfam family "Bacterial small subunit ribosomal RNA", at positions 524 to 776 of the family's 1533-position model. The record is from RNAcentral.